This 588-nucleotide ribosomal RNA is filed under the name uncultured bacterium. Its description in RNAcentral is "bacterial SSU rRNA". It matches the Rfam family "Bacterial small subunit ribosomal RNA", at positions 336 to 916 of the family's 1533-position model. The record is from RNAcentral.
CUCCUACGGGAGGCAGCAGUGGGGAAUAUUGGACAAUGGGGGCAACCCUGAUCCAGCCAUGCCGCGUGUGUGAAGAAGGCCUUCGGGUUGUAAAGCACUUUCAGCAGUGAGGAAAGGUGGGUCGUUAAUACCGGCUUGCUGUGACGUUAACUGCAGAAGAAGCACCGGCUAACUCCGUGCCAGCAGCCGCGGUAAUACGGAGGGUGCAAGCGUUAAUCGGAAUUACUGGGCGUAAAGCGCGCGUAGGUGGUUUGGUCAGUCAGAUGUGAAAGCCCCGGGCUCAACCUGGGAACUGCACCUGAUACUGCCAAACUAGAGUACGGUAGAGGGUAGUGGAAUUUCCGGUGUAGCGGUGAAAUGCGUAGAGAUCGGAAGGAACACCAGUGGCGAAGGCGACUACCUGGACCGAUACUGACACUGAGGUGCGAAAGCGUGGGUAGCAAACAGGAUUAGAUACCCUGGUAGUCCACGCCGUAAACGAUGAGAACUAGAUGUUAGGUGGCUUGUCCACUUAGUAUUGCAGCUAACGCGUUAAGUUCUCCGCCUGGGGAGUACGGCCGCAAGGUUAAAACUCAAAGGAAUUGACGG